Long non-coding RNA from Bos taurus (domestic cattle), 585 nucleotides. The record is from Ensembl. Lineage: Eukaryota; Metazoa; Chordata; Mammalia; Artiodactyla; Bovidae.
GUAUGUGGGGAGGAGCCGGGGGUCGUUCCGGGGGAUGGGGAAGGGGCCGGGGUGGGGGGCGAGCGCAAACCCCCGGUGAGGUGCGGAGACGGCGGGCCGGCUGGAAUUGGGGGGAGGCGGGUGGGGGAAUCCCUGGGCCGCCUCCCGCGACCCCGCCCCGGGGCCGCUCACGUCUGUUCCGGGGCGGAUUACCCCUCUCGGAACCGCGCAGCACUGCGGCUCCGAUCGCUUCCAGCCCCCUGAGCCCUCUCCCUCAAGGGAAGGGCACACUCACUGACCCUCCGGAGCCUCCAAAACAGAAGUCACUGAAACCUGCAUCUUCCUUCUCUGCCCCCCUCGCCCUCUCCCUCCUGCACAAAUCACAGAUAACAAUCUUGGAAGCGUCAGCAGAAGAGCACUUUCAGGAAACAACAGCUAAUCAUCUUCAUGAAGAAGCAGACCCAGGAGAAACUUUGCCCCCACCUCCAGGGGUUGCUAGCGGUGAUUAUAUUCACAGUUUAGGCUAACAAGGCAGUUUCCCAAGAAGCGUGACUUCAAAUACGGAGGACACAUUGACACAGUGUUGUCUGAAAAGAGACAAUUGCG